AAGAGAGAGAGAGAGAAAG
RNAcentral lists this small RNA (19 nucleotides) under Arabidopsis thaliana (thale cress). Its description in RNAcentral is "ATSL113470". Lineage: Eukaryota; Viridiplantae; Streptophyta; Magnoliopsida; Brassicales; Brassicaceae. The record is from RNAcentral.